CUACAUGAACCAGGUGGAGGAGACGCGCUACCGCGUGGACCAGAACCUGCUCAAGGAGUACUUCCCCGUGCAGGUGGUCACGCACGGGCUGCUGGGCAUCUACCAGGAGCUCCUGGGGCUGGCCUUCCACCACGAGGAGGGCGCCAGUGCCUGGCAUGAGGACGUGCGGCUCUACACCGCGAGGGACGCGGCCUCGGGGGAGGUGGUCGGGAAGGAAAGUACGGGCACGCGGCCUGCUUUGGCCUGCAGCCCGGCUGCCUGCGGCAGGAUGGGAGCCGCCAGAUCGCCAUCGCGGCCAUGGUGGCCAACUUCACCAAGCCCACAGCCGACGCGCCCUCGCUGCUGCAGCAUGACGAGGUAGAGACCUACUUCCAUGAGUUUGGCCACGUGAUGCACCAGCUCUGCUCCCAGGCGGAGUUCGCCAUGUUCAGCGGGACCCACGUGGAGCGGGACUUUGUGGAGGCGCCCUCGCAGAUGCUGGAGAACUGGGUGUGGGAGCAGGAGCCGCUGCUGCGGAUGUCGCGGCACUACCGCACAGGCAGCGCCGUGCCCCGGGAGCUCCUGGAGAAGCUCAUUGAGUCCCGGCAGGCCAAUACAGGUGCACCCGCCCCGUCCG
Molecule: small RNA, 616 nt
Filed under: Pan troglodytes (chimpanzee)
Lineage: Eukaryota; Metazoa; Chordata; Mammalia; Primates; Hominidae
Description: retained intron
Source: RNAcentral